CGGAUCGCUGACGUGUCACGAUAUUGAACAGUUGGAGCAUACUUUUCUUGAUCCUUCCACAGCUUUGGUUUAACUUAUUUGGAUUACGCUUCCUCCUUUCACUUCUCUUCAUCUUCAUCUUCCUCACUUUGUCGUCUCAAUUCUCUCCUCUCGAGCCUCCUUUAACGACGAAGACAUCAAAGAAAAGCUUCCUCGAAUCAGAUUCAAAAGCUUUCUCUCUCUUUCUGGUUCCAUAGCUCACCGUCGCAGAUCUAUUCCUGCCGGUGUACUUUUUCUCGGCGGAGAAAUCAGAUCAGAUCUGGCCGGCCUGCUCUAAACUGCUAUCAUAUUCUCGCCGUAGCCUUUUGGGUUUAUAAAGGAGCAGUAGAGGAUGAUGGUGGAUCUAAUCUCUCUGGUUAAUUGGACACGGAGAGCUUGCACGGCUCUUGACCAUGGAGAAUCUAGCGCCCUACCUCUAUGGGAUUUCUAGCGUUGUUGGUGGUCAGAGAGCUCAGUGAAGUAUUCAGUUCUGGAGAGCAUCGUCGUAAAAGACUUUUUACCCCAUGGAUCUGGAAGAAGCUAGGUAUGUCAAUAAUUUUGAAGAAUAAGUUCAAAGAUUUGGAGAUAAGAGUGUAGAGAAUUCGCAAGAUUAAUUACACGACUUACGGCUUUUGUAUCAUACUUUUGUAUCAUACAAAGUAUGAACUUAUCUUUAUUUUUAUUUGGUAAUAUAUAGGUCGUUUGUAUCUGUUUCAUACAAAUAUAAUAAAAAAAUCUGGUAUUUUUCAUUUUAA
Eutrema salsugineum is the source of this 773-nucleotide long non-coding RNA. RefSeq lists it as uncharacterized. The transcript is spliced from 3 exons. Lineage: Eukaryota; Viridiplantae; Streptophyta; Magnoliopsida; Brassicales; Brassicaceae. The record is from RefSeq and is a predicted model, not a curated record.